AGGAACCUAACCAGUAUGUUGGAGUCUGUGAACCUGUGGGCUGAGAGGAUGAAGGACUAUCACCAAAUUCUUUCUUGGCUCAUUCGAGCUUACAAAGCUUUCACAGAUAACCCAAUCUUCUUGUUCAUGCCCUCUGGUGUAUUUCUACUGCUAAUAUAUUUCCGUAUUCAGGUAGUAGAUGGCCAAAGGAAAAUCAUCAGACGGUUAGAAAAGCAAAUUGACGAUGAAAGUAAAGACAAAAAAUUCCUC
Long non-coding RNA from Gambusia affinis (western mosquitofish), 249 nucleotides. RefSeq lists it as uncharacterized. Lineage: Eukaryota; Metazoa; Chordata; Actinopteri; Cyprinodontiformes; Poeciliidae. The record is from RefSeq and is a predicted model, not a curated record. The transcript has 3 exons.